Molecule: small nuclear RNA, 107 nt
Filed under: Moschus moschiferus (Siberian musk deer)
Lineage: Eukaryota; Metazoa; Chordata; Mammalia; Artiodactyla; Moschidae
Source: RNAcentral
GUGCUUUUUUCGGUAGCACAUACACUAGAGUCGGAAUGAUGCACAGAAGAUUGGCAUGGUCCCUGUGCAACGAUGGCGUGCAAGUUUGUGAGGCAUUCCGUAUUUUU